This 482-nucleotide ribosomal RNA is filed under the name uncultured bacterium. RNAcentral's name for it is "partial 16S ribosomal RNA". It matches the Rfam family "Bacterial small subunit ribosomal RNA", at positions 30 to 507 of the family's 1533-position model. The record is from RNAcentral.
AUUGAACGCUGGCGGCAUGCCUUACACAUGCAAGUCGAACGGUAACGGGCCUUCGGGUGCCGACGAGUGGCGAACGGGUGAGUAAUACAUCGGAACGUGCCCGAUCGUGGGGGAUAACGAGGCGAAAGCUUUGCUAAUACCGCAUACGAUCUACGGAUGAAAGCAGGGGACCGCAAGGCCUUGCGCGGACGGAGCGGCCGAUGGCAGAUUAGGUAGUUGGUGGGAUAAAAGCUUACCAAGCCGACGAUCUGUAGCUGGUCUGAGAGGAUGAUCAGCCACACUGGGACUGAGACACGGCCCAGACUCCUACGGGAGGCAGCAGUGGGGAAUUUUGGACAAUGGGCGCAAGCCUGAUCCAGCCAUGCCGCGUGCAGGAUGAAGGCCUUCGGGUUGUAAACUGCUUUUGUACGGAACGAAAAGCCUCCUUUUAAUACAGGAGGGUCAUGACGGUACCGUAAGAAUAAGCACCGGCUAACUACGUG